GACGAACGCUGGCGGCGUGCCUAAUACAUGCAAGUCGAACGCACUCUCGUUUAGAUUGAAGGAGCUUGCUCCUGAUUGAUAAACAUUUGAGUGAGUGGCGGACGGGUGAGUAACACGUGGGUAACCUGCCCUAAAGUGGGGGAUAACAUUUGGAAACAGAUGCUAAUACCGCAUAAAACCUAAACACCGCAUGGUGUAGGGUUGAAAGAUGGUUUCGGCUAUCACUUUAGGAUGGACCCGCGGUGCAUUAGUUAGUUGGUGAGGUAAAGGCUCACCGAGACCGUGAUGCAUAGCCGACCUGAGAGGGUAAUCGGCCACACUGGGACUGAGACACGGCCCAGACUCCUACGGGAGCAGCAGUAGGGAAUCUUCCACAAU
This 378-nucleotide ribosomal RNA is filed under the name uncultured bacterium. RNAcentral describes it as "bacterial SSU rRNA". It matches the Rfam family "Bacterial small subunit ribosomal RNA", at positions 28 to 372 of the family's 1533-position model. The record is from RNAcentral.